This 68-nucleotide unclassified non-coding RNA is filed under the name Flavobacterium caeni. Its description in RNAcentral is "Flavo-1 RNA". The record is from RNAcentral. Lineage: Bacteria; Pseudomonadati; Bacteroidota; Flavobacteriia; Flavobacteriales; Flavobacteriaceae.
CCCUAGCCCUGAUAGAGCCGAUAUCCUCGCAGCGCAGCGGAGAGAUAAAGGCGAAAGCAGGUUCCCGG